This 77-nucleotide small RNA is filed under the name Xanthomonas populi. Its description in RNAcentral is "sX9 sRNA". It matches the Rfam family "Xanthomonas sRNA sX9". Lineage: Bacteria; Pseudomonadati; Pseudomonadota; Gammaproteobacteria; Lysobacterales; Lysobacteraceae. The record is from RNAcentral.
AUUUACCCCUCGUACGCUGCGGUUCUGAGCGCGCCGCCCCUACCCACCUGACAGCUGCUCGCUACGUCUUGUUAACC